AUCGUAAUAAUGUGAAAAGUGCAUGAACGCGAAAUUAAGGAGCGGAAUAUGUAGUGUCGAUCUUGACGCGUGAAGUUGGCCUCGUGACGAAGCCGCUUCUCGCCAUCCUAAGCUGUAUUCAUAUUCCUUUUACAGAACAUGGAGGACACGGAGCGGACUCGCUCUAGAGCGGAUGCGUCUACGCUGCUUGUUUAACAGAAGGCAGCGGACGCGGGACGGACCGGCUCCAGAACGGAAGUAUCGUCGCGGCCCGUUUAACAGAACGCGGCGGAUGCAGGUCGGAUCGGAACCGGAGCGAGCGGUAUCGCGACUCGUUUAACAGAUUGUAUAGUGUUGUAUGUACUACAAUUUUAUUAUUGUACAUCGUGGGAAUAUAAUCUAAAGAGGAGAUCUGACAACUCGGAAAUAAAUCAGAAUUCAGGGAGGUAUCGGAGAAAGAGACUUGGCAGAGCAACUUUGCGAUUCAUUGUAGCCGAUGCGUCUGAUAACUCCACCGUUGCGCAUCAAUUGGUGAGUGAUAAAAAAAUUUAUAAAAGAGGUAAUGAAACUAUAAAAUAUAGUAAAACAUUUUACUUUUUAAUAAUAUAAAAGAAACAAUCUCUAACAAAAAUGUUUAAAAAAAUUAUUUUAAAAGAUUGAGUUUAAAUAAACAAAAUUAAGUCGCGUCCAUUAUUUUAAUUUGUGUAAUUAUUAUUUUUUGAUUAUGUCCAGACACAACAAAAAUUUAUAAUUUUUAUUAUAAUCAUAAAAGUAAUUUUGCCAAGACAUAACAUUAAUUAGAUGAUAUAAAAUUAUGUUAUAACAUAAUUUUAAUUAGAUAAAUUAAACAUUGUGACUUGUCCAGAAAUUAAUUUUCGCGUUUGAUUGAACACAUUUGAAAUUAUGGAGUACGAUUCGGUAUUGGAGAUCGAUGCAAUGUGCACUCUGGCUUCUCGUUACGUUAUCGGUUCAAUGAGACCAAGUCUCAUUGAACUUAGCGUCUAACCGGCCGAUCAGCUGGAUUAACCAUGAUUUGUGAGCAUGUCGCGGGUUGACAAAGCACCCCAGAAA
Solenopsis invicta (red fire ant) is the source of this 1050-nucleotide long non-coding RNA. RefSeq lists it as uncharacterized. The record is from RefSeq and is a predicted model, not a curated record. The transcript is spliced from 5 exons. Lineage: Eukaryota; Metazoa; Arthropoda; Insecta; Hymenoptera; Formicidae.